CCUACGGGUGGCUGCAGUCGGGAAUUUUGCUCAAUGGGGGAAACCCUGAAGCAGCAACGCCGCGUGAGGGAUGAAGGCCUUCGGGUUGUAAACCUCUUUUGUCAGGGACGAUGAUGACGGUACCUGGCGAAUAAGCCACGGCUAACUACGUGCCAGCAGCCGCGGUAAUACGUAGGUGGCAAGCGUUGUCCGGAUUUACUGGGCGUAAAGAGCGCGCAGGCGGUCUUGUAAGUCGAAUGUGAAAGCCCCUGGCUCAACCAGGGAGGGUCAUUCGAUACUGCUUGACUCGAAGGCAGGAGAGGGAAGUGGAAUUCCGGGUGUAGUGGUGAAAUGCGUAGAUAUCCGGAGGAACACCAGUGGCGAAGGCGACUUUCUGGCCUGUUCUUGACGCUGAGGCGCGAAAGCUAGGGGAGCAAACGGGAUUAGAUACCCUUGUAGUC
Molecule: ribosomal RNA, 440 nt
Filed under: uncultured bacterium
Lineage: Bacteria
Description: partial 16S ribosomal RNA
Rfam family: Bacterial small subunit ribosomal RNA
Source: RNAcentral